UGGGGAAUCUUGGACAAUGGGGGCAACCCUGAUCCAGCCAUGCCGCGUGAGUGAUGAAGGCCUUAGGGUCGUAAAGCUCUUUCGCCUGUGAAGAUAAUGACGGUAGCAGGUAAAGAAACCCCGGCUAACUCCGUGCCAGCAGCCGCGGUAAUACGGAGGGGGUUAGCGUUGUUCGGAAUUACUGGGCGUAAAGCGCACGUAGGCGGACCAGAAAGUUGGGGGUGAAAUCCCGGGGGCUCAACCCCGGAACUGCCUCCAAAACUAUUGGUCUAGAGUUCGAGAGAGGUGAGUGGAAUUCCAAGUGUAGAGGUGAAAUUCGUAGAUAUUUGGAGGAACACCAGUGGCGAAGGCGGCUCACUGGCUCGAUACUGACGCUGAGGUGCGAAAGCGUGGGGAGCAAAGCAGGAUUAGAUAGCCCUGGUAGUCCACGCCGUAAAACGAUGAAUGUUAGCCGUCGGGCAGUAUACUG
This 469-nucleotide ribosomal RNA is filed under the name uncultured bacterium. RNAcentral's name for it is "bacterial SSU rRNA". It matches the Rfam family "Bacterial small subunit ribosomal RNA", at positions 355 to 838 of the family's 1533-position model. The record is from RNAcentral.